AGAGUUUGAUCAUGGCUCAGGAUGAACGCUAGCGGCAGGCUUAACACAUGCAAGUCGAGGGGUAUAAGUCUUCGGAUUUAGAGACCGGCGCACGGGUGCGUAACGCGUAUGCAAUCUACCUUUUACAGAGGGAUAGCCCAGAGAAAUUUGGAUUAAUACCUCAUAGCAUUGCAGAAUGGCAUCAUUCAGCAAUUAAAGUCACAACGGUAAAAGAUGAGCAUGCGUCCCAUUAGCUUGUUGGUAAGGUAACGGCUUACCAAGGCUACGAUGGGUAGGGGUCCUGAGAGGGAGAUCCCCCACACUGGUACUGAGACACGGACCAGACUCCUACGGGAGGCAGCAGUGAGGAAUAUUGGUCAAUGGACGCAAGUCUGAACCAGCCAUGCCGCGUGCAGGAUGACGGUCCUAUGGAUUGUAAACUGCUUUUGCACAGGAAGAAACAACAUUACGUGUAAUGUCUUGACGGUACUGUGAGAAUAAGGAUCGGCUAACUCCGUGCCAGCAGCCGCGGUAAUACGGAGGAUCCAAGCGUUAUCCGGAAUCAUUGGGUUUAAAGGGUCCGUAGGCGGCUUAGUAAGUCAGUGGUGAAAGCCCAUCGCUCAACGGUGGAACGGCCAUUGAUACUGCUAGACUUGAAUUAUUAGGAAGUAACUAGAAUAUGUAGUGUAGCGGUGAAAUGCUUAGAGAUUACAUGGAAUACCAAUUGCGAAGGCAGGUUACUACUAAUGGAUUGACGCUGAUGGACGAAAGCGUGGGUAGCGAACAGGAU
Molecule: ribosomal RNA, 769 nt
Filed under: uncultured bacterium
Lineage: Bacteria
Description: bacterial SSU rRNA
Rfam family: Bacterial small subunit ribosomal RNA
Source: RNAcentral